UAUGAACACAACGAAGGAAAGUUGGGUUGUUUGCUGCAUUUCCCUUUUUCUCACCUGUCGCACUCCAGUUAAGUACAUAUUAGUACACUGUAUAUAUAUCCCUUUUUUAAACCAGUCGCAUUCUUGCUAAGGUUUAAAUCUUAGACGAUUAAAGAUUUUUACAAGCUGUUCCUAUCAAUUGGACCAUUUGAGACAACGUGUUUUUACGUUUGCGAAUAGGAAAUAUGAGAAAUGUGUUAGCGCUCAAUCUCAAUGAAGCUAUCGUUCUACGUAGAUCGAUCCAACUCUGCUGGGACUCUCGCUGAAUGCAAUCAGUUUAACAGAUUAACAGGCCUCCUCUUGUUUCCAACGUACUCGUUAAUAAAGUACAUGCAAGCAUACGCGUCAUGAUGCGCAGAACCUUCGUCUAACAGCGGAAAACACGGCUGAAUUAAUCGAUCAGCCAUUUUUUCCAGUUUUCGUCCAUUUUAAAUAGAAGAAAUAGAAAAGAAAGAUCAGCUACUCCCGUGUUUUUGCGCCAGUUAAAACAUUUGCUGGUUAAUACAUUUAACACCCGAGAGAUAAGUGUUCUAAACAGUGUUUGUUUAUUAUAAAAUGUUACUCAAUUGUCUACUUCGAGUUAUCUCUCUCACGUCAAAUCACGUGAGAACAUUGGACUUGAGUUUCAUAACGUCUGCCUUAUUAUUUGAGGGGGGAGAUCAGUGGAAAGUACAUAUAUAUGCACCAUGUGCACGUGAGCGUUGUCAGAUGAAUGCAAAUAUUUUGCCUGAUUAACUAAUAAGCUAACUAACCAUCAUUCAAAUAACAACUGCAAUAUGAGAUGGUAUAUGGGACCCAAAACAGAGUCCCCUGGUCUUUACUUCCAUCCCUCCCUUCACGUGUUUCCUCCGUAUCUUAUGUACAUAUGUAUGUGCUAUUGUACAAGUUGUCCAAAAAUUAUAAAACCUUUGGUUAAAUCCCACAAGUGUGAGUUUCUUUAUAAUUCGUUUUUGUACCCAUACCACAUCUAAUAUUUCGUGAACUAUAUCUGUCCAUUGGAUGGAUUAUGUGAAUCUUGCUGUGUUAUGUUCACCACAAAGUCACAGUGACAUGGAACUCCAUUUCUUUUCAUCCACGUGAAAAAGUUUAUUUGUUUUUACUACACUUGUCUGGUUCGCAGUUUUGAAGAAUGAUUAUAAGUAAAAUGAUUUGUGUGAAUAAAACAGUCGCCAUUAUAGUUCUGAGAGAGCGUAUAGUGCCCAAAUUCAACAUAAUAACAAUGUCAGCGAAUAAAUGUAGGGGAAAAUGGUAAUCAAAGAUCAGCUAAAAAACACAUUGACGCAAACUGGUCAGGGUGAAGAAAUAAUAGGUAUUGAUGGGCCGAUCAGAUGGGUUAAUAACUUAAUAUAUUGAAUGUGGCGCAUUACCUUUUGGGACACCCUAUUUAUCUUUGACUUAUGCAUUUAAAGCACAGAAGACUGAAUUAGGAUAUCAGUAACUUACGAAACAGAGCGGCUGAGACCAUCGUCCGAUAUAGGCCUGUUGAGAUUAUCUGAAUAGGUAGCUGAAAUGACGUCAACAAGGAUGAUUCUUGUCUUACUGGUGGCACCAGCUUUCGUCAUGUCUAACGAAUGCCAGAAUAAUAUCAACGGUUGCAGUGUCCCUUCGUUCCUUCAAGGAUUUGAAAAUAACAGAGAAUAUGUGGCAAUAUUCGAGUCAGUCUGUAAUCAACACGACAUGUGUUAUAACUGUGGAGCGGCGUUUGGAAUUAAUAGAAGCGGUUGUGACACAAGACUAUACCGACAUAUGGUAGACGUGUGUGACAGAACGGACGCUGCAUCCCUUCCUGGCGGAAAGCCACGUUGCUAUGACAGGGCAAAUGCAUUUAAAACUUCCGUCACUUUGUUUGGGUUUUGGUUUUAUCACAGCAAAGCUCUUAGUUGGUGCAACGAUAGGUGCACGGCAGAUUAUUUGGGAAAUGACCAAUUUUAAACUCUCACCUAUAUGCAAAUGUGACAGCUCAGAAAGCCAUCGAAUUAUAUUUCUCGUUUUGGAAAUAUUCCAUUAAUUUUGACAAGAGUGUACCUGGCCUCUCAAUCAAACAAGCGACAGUGCUUAUGUGUAAGACGCUCUAACAGAAAAAAAAAAGACAGUGCGCGCCUUGGAAUGUAUUUUCAUAUGAAAGCCAUCCUCUGUUUAAAAUGUUACAGUGUGCAGUCCGAAGUAGGCCGCAGAAUCGUUUAUUUUUACAGAGUAUUUGUGUUAUACUAAUGAUAUUCAGGGUAUUGAAGGGACCUUACAGAAUGCGUUAUGUUGACUUGGCUAAUGCGCACUAACUCCAAUGUGACUCUCGCUGAAUGCAAGCACACAAGAGAAUGAUUAGGCUGGUAAUCUGAUUGCAUUUAGCCAGAGUUCCCGUGGAGUUACUUCACAUUAGCUAUGACGUCAUAAUUCUUUCUGAACGGUCCCUCAGUUAGAUACCUGACUGGCAUCUUUGGUUUUCUUAUACCUUAAUUGUACGUCAUCAAUAUUUAAACGUCUUACAAACAGGACAAAGAGAAUAAGCACUUUUAUGCUCUCAUGCGCUCUUUGAUCAAAUGUGAUUAGAAUCAAAGUGCGGUUCGUGUAGUAAAGGUACCCUCUACCAGGGCCGCAGUUAUUAUUGUGGACAUU
Long non-coding RNA from Lingula anatina, 2652 nucleotides. NCBI's taxonomy places the organism in Eukaryota, Metazoa, Brachiopoda, Lingulata, Lingulida, Lingulidae. The record is from RefSeq and is a predicted model, not a curated record.